GGCCUCGUAGCUCAGCUAGUAGAGCGCGCGCUUACAAAGCGUAGGCAGCGUCCACUCGUGGGUUUGAAUCCCACUGAGGCUA
Molecule: transfer RNA, 82 nt
Filed under: Echinostoma caproni
Lineage: Eukaryota; Metazoa; Platyhelminthes; Trematoda; Plagiorchiida; Echinostomatidae
Rfam family: tRNA
About the family: Transfer RNA (tRNA) molecules are approximately 80 nucleotides in length. Their secondary structure includes four short double-helical elements and three loops (D, anti-codon, and T loops).
Source: Rfam by way of RNAcentral